UAGUUUCCAACGAGUUUUCCAGUUUUCCCUGGACCAGCCACAUUUUCGGCCUUCUUCGACAACCAUUAGGCUUCCAAAUAGGUAUAAUCUUGUUCUACACUUUCCUAUGUUCAUCUUGAUAAAUUAUGGAUUGAAUUUGGUUAAGAAACGAUUGAGUUACGAAGCUUUGAAAAUUACUCAAACUUCAGGCCAAGAGCUCCGGGACACUUAACGGAUUUUUUUAUUGGAAUGACCAAAAUAAUGAAUGGUGGACAAUCUCAAGGACCAGUUCUAUUGAUUUUCAAUCUCAGGAACCAAAGUGAUGUGUUAUGCAAAUCUCAAGAACCAUUUUGGCUAAAAAGCCUUUAUAUAAUGAUAGUGGUGAAUUUUGAAGUUGAGCCCAUCACGAAAUUUGUAAAGUUUUUCAUUACGAGCAUUUAUAUAUUUUUUUCACACUUAUACAUUAAUUAAUAUUUUUGUGAUACUUGAAAGACAAAUGUAUCUUCAUAAGUAAUAUGUAUAUGACAAUGUGAUAUGUAUAUACUAAUUUAGUAUUAUGUUUUUCAUUUGAUUAUUUAUUGGUUUAAUACAUAUUUUCUUUAAUGGCUAAGGGGUCAGGUUAGGUUACGCGUUAAUAUUAAUGGGCCGAGUUCGGAUCGGGUCAUAAUACUCAUUUAUUUUAACGGGUUUUACAUGAUACGACUUAUUAAGAUAUCGGGUAUGACACGAAAAGAACACGAACAUAAAAAACACGACAUGAAUGUUAGGUCUAUAGAGAGCCAGGGAAAGGAGAGAUAAACAUGAUAAAGAGAGAGAAGGGGAGAGACACAUGAUAGAAAAUAGGAAGAGAAGAAAGUAGAUAAGGAUGAGAGACAGGAGGAGAUAAGGAAUAAAGUGAAGAGAGAAGGGUAUAAUAACUAUUUUCUAUACUAGCGUAAACCCAUGUCACUACUACAAAAGUACCCAAUAGUGUCACUUUAAAAAAACUACAAGAAAAGCCCAUUUCUAUCGAAUAUUAACAAAAAAUCCGACAGAAAUUCAUGUAAUGUCGGAUAAAAGAACCGAC
RNAcentral lists this long non-coding RNA (1045 nucleotides) under Malus domestica (apple). RNAcentral describes it as "long non-coding RNA (MDOM_LNC017903)". Lineage: Eukaryota; Viridiplantae; Streptophyta; Magnoliopsida; Rosales; Rosaceae. The record is from RNAcentral.